Molecule: ribosomal RNA, 253 nt
Filed under: uncultured bacterium
Lineage: Bacteria
Description: partial 16S ribosomal RNA
Rfam family: Bacterial small subunit ribosomal RNA
Source: RNAcentral
UACAGAGGGUGCGAGCGUUAAUCGGAAUUACUGGGCGUAAAGCGCGCGUAGGCGGCUUUGCAAGUCGGGUGUGAAAUCCCCAGGCUUAACCUGGGAACUGCAUUCGAGACUGCAUUGCUAGAGUAUGGGAGAGGGAAGUGGAAUUUCCGGUGUAGCGGUGAAAUGCGUAGAUAUCGGAAGGAACAUCAAUAACGAAAGCGACUUCCUGGACCAAUACUGACGCUCAUGUGCGAAAGCGUGGGGAGCAAACAGG